UUAGGUAACAUCAAAUCGUACCCCAAACCGACACAGGUGGUCAGGUAGAGAAUACCAAGGCGCUUGAGAGAACUCGGGUGAAGGAACUAGGCAAAAUGGUGCCGUAACUUCGGGAGAAGGCACGUUGAUAUGUAGGUGAAGCGACUUGCUCGUGGAGCUGAAAUCAGUCGAAGAUACCAGCUGGCUGCAACUGUUUAUUAAAAACACAGCACUGUGCAAACACGAAAGUGGACGUAUACGGUGUGACGCCUGCCCGGUGCCGGAAGGUUAAUUGAUGGGGUCAGCGCAAGCGAAGCUCUUGAUCGAAGCCCCCGUAAACGGCGGCCGUAACUAUAACGGUCCUAAGGUAGCGAAAUUCCUUGUCGGGUAAGUUCCGACCUGCACGAAUGGCGUAAUGAUGGCCAGGCUGUCUCCACCCGAGACUCAGUGAAAUUGAACUCGCUGUGAAGAUGCAGUGUACCCGCGGCAAGACGGAAAGACCCCGUGAACCUUUACUAUAGCUUGACACUGAACAUUGAGCCUUGAUGUGUAGGAUAGGUGGGAGGCUUUGAAGUGUGGACGCCAGUCUGCAUGGAGCCGACCUUGAAAUACCACCCUUUAAUGUUUGAUGUUCUAACGUGGACCCGUGAUCCGGGUUGCGGACAGUGUCUGGUGGGUAGUUUGACUGGGGCGGUCUCCUCCUAAAGAGUAACGGAGGAGCACGAAGGUUGGCUAAUCCUGGUCGGACAUCAGGAGGUUAGUGCAAUGGCAUAAGCCAGCUUGACUGCGAGCGUGACGGCGCGAGCAGGUGCGAAAGCAGGUCAUAGUGAUCCGGUGGUUCUGAAUGGAAGGGCCAUCGCUCAACGGAUAAAAGGUACUCCGGGGAUAACAGGCUGAUACCGCCCAAGAGUUCAUAUCGACGGCGGUGUUUGGCACCUCGAUGUCGGCUCAUCACAUCCUGGAGCUGAAGUAGGUCCCAAGGGUAUGGCUGUUCGCCAUUUAAAGUGGUACGCGAGCUGGGUUUAGAACGUCGUGAGACAGUUCGGUCCCUAUCUGCCGUGGGCGCUGGAGAACUGAGGGGGGCUGCUCCUAGUACGAGAGGACCGGAGUGGACGCAUCACUGGUGUUCGGGUUGUCAUGCCAAUGGCACUGCCCGGUAGCUAAAUGCGGAAGAGAUAAGUGCUGAAAGCAUCUAAGCACGAAACUUGCCCCGAGAUGAGUUCUCCCUGACUCCUUGAGAGUCCUGAAGGAACGUUGAAGACGACGACGUUGAUAGGCCGGGUGUGUAAGCGCAGCGAUGCGUUGAGCUAA
This 1290-nucleotide ribosomal RNA is filed under the name metagenome. RNAcentral's name for it is "bacterial LSU rRNA". It matches the Rfam family "Bacterial large subunit ribosomal RNA", at positions 1627 to 2894 of the family's 2925-position model. The record is from RNAcentral.